This 301-nucleotide ribosomal RNA is filed under the name uncultured bacterium. RNAcentral describes it as "partial 16S ribosomal RNA". It matches the Rfam family "Bacterial small subunit ribosomal RNA", at positions 509 to 807 of the family's 1533-position model. The record is from RNAcentral.
CAGCCGCCGCGGGAAUACGUAGGUGGCAAGCGUUGUCCGGAAUUAUUGGGCGUAAAGCGCGCGCAGGUGGUUUAAUAAGUCUGAUGUGAAAGCCCACGGCUCAACCGUGGAGGGUCAUUGAAAACUGUUAAACUUGAGUGCAGGAGAGAAAAGUGGAAUUCCUAGUGUAGCGGUGAAAUGCGUAGAGAUUAGGAGGAACACCAGUGGCGAAGGCGGCUUUUUGGCCUGUAACUGACACUGAGGCGCGAAAGCGUGGGGAGCAAACAGGAUUAGAGACCCCUGUAGUCCCUGUCUCUUAUAC